Molecule: ribosomal RNA, 774 nt
Filed under: uncultured Neocallimastigales
Lineage: Eukaryota; Fungi; Neocallimastigomycota; Neocallimastigomycetes; Neocallimastigales
Description: partial large subunit ribosomal RNA
Rfam family: Eukaryotic large subunit ribosomal RNA
Source: RNAcentral
GUAGUCUCGCACAGAUGCAUAUCAAUAAGCGGAGGAAAAGAAACUAACAAGGAUUCCCCUAGUAACGGCGAGUGAAGCGGGAAGAGCUCAAAUUUGAAAUCUUAAAGGGUUUCCCUUUACGAAUUGUAGUUUAAAGAAGUGUUUUCUGUUGAGGUUUUGGUAAAAGUUCUUUGGAAUAGGACAUCAUAGAGGGUGAGAAUCCCGUAUUUGACCUUUACUUUCAACUUUGUGAUACACUUUCAAAGAGUCGGAUUGUUUGGGAAUGCAGUCCAAAAUGGGUGGUAAAUUUCAUCUAAAGCUAAAUAUUGGCGAGAGGCCGAUAGCGAACAAGUACCGUGAGGGGAAGAUGAAAAGAACUUUGAAAAGAGAGUUAAACAGUACGUGAAAUUGUCAAAAGGGAAGCGUUUGACACCAGUGUUGUUUUUCUGAAAAUCAAUUAAAGAACUGUUUAUGCUAAGCUGUUUAGACUUUAUCAGCUAUCUGUUUAGUUUUGAGCUUUUCUUUAAUGCACUUUUCAGUUAACAAGUCAACAUCAAUUUCUUUUGCUGUAAAAAAGCUUGAGGAAGGUGGCUUGAGAUUCGUCUUAAGUGUUUAUAGCCUCUUGCCUAUGCAGUCGGAGAGAUUGAGGUCUGCAGCGUAGAUCCUUCGGGGCUAAAUGCAUUUGUGCUAAGUUAUAGCAUUUUAUAGACAACUUGUUGACUAUGAUUUGUCUUGUAGCUUACUCGCUUAUGUUAUUUUACCUACGCUUAGGAUGUUGACAGCAGUAUAGACUGU